CACUUUGUACCGCUUCUUGAUCUGUCAUCAGUUACGGAGGUGAGAUCCCAGCAAAGCCCUCAAGCCCAUUCCACCUAGGUGAUGUGUCUCCAGUCCUCCCUCUGCCUUUAAGCUCUAACCUGGGACUGCUGGUGAGAGUGGUGACGUGCCCGAAAGUAGAAAGGACACACACAGACAAGAGCAUGGAACUCGCUGUAUCGCCUCGGCACCGUGUGUCUGCGUCCGCUGUACAGCACCUCGACUUGGAACACCUAGCGGGCGGAGGAGUGCGGGCGGCUGGCCUAAAUGUUGCGGCAGGACCCGCGCCCACUUUCUGGCGUUCGAAAGGGACAAAGACAACUUGGAUCCCACUAGAGCCCAGAUCAUCAUCCGAGGGACUGGCAAAGCCAGUAACCCCGAACCUUUGCGAUGGGCGUCCUACCCCGGUAUCCUGGUUCCCUUUUGCGCUCGUCGAGGGGAUGGAUUUUCGGUGGAUCCCCACGCUCACCCUCCAUCCAUUGCUCACCAUGUGGC
Long non-coding RNA from Alexandromys fortis (reed vole), 513 nucleotides. RefSeq lists it as uncharacterized. NCBI's taxonomy places the organism in Eukaryota, Metazoa, Chordata, Mammalia, Rodentia, Cricetidae. The record is from RefSeq and is a predicted model, not a curated record. The transcript is spliced from 3 exons.